GGUUGAUAUCAUUGACUGGCAUAUAAACGUGUAAAGUCAUAUGGUAACAGUAUCAUACAUGGCUCUUCCAUCUGAAGAUGUACCAUCGACUAAAGACCAAAAGGAAAGAAAACGUAAUGGAGUUAACGCGUUGACUAACACAUUUUCGGUAAAUGGACGAAAACAGAGAAAAAUGCAGACCGGAAAGGAAAAGAACAGCAAGUAUUUGCAAAUAUACAACCAAUGGAUAACACAGAAGGAUCGUCAUCUUAUAAGAAGAAAACAAAUCAGGGAAAUGAAAAGGCAGAAACAAGAAAUACAGAAAAACAGAAAAGAAGAUAGUAUUGGAUUCAUGCAUACUGGUCGUAUAAAUGAAAUUUACGAUCCCUGCAUCGUUCCUUACAACAGAAAAUUUUCACGACGUGUUAUUUUCAUUGAUAGAAAUAAAUCCAUCGAAAAGCAAAACGAUUAUGAAAAUGGACAAUCAUUUUGUCGCGCUUUUUCAAAAUUAAGAAAUAGUUCCCAAAACGAAUAUCCAAUUAACUUAAACAUCCCGGAAGCACGUGGUUAUACAUAUGAUACCCAUAGUAUUGAUGAUCCGAUGGUUUGUGAUUUGAAUUUACGGUGUAAUAGAUUUGGAAGCACUUUAGUAUGGACCUUGGCUGACCCCCGAAUCACAAUUGAUUUAAAUCUAAGGAACAAUAGGCCGAUCGAAUCGCUGACUUUUUCAGAAUCGAUUUUAUCAUAUGAAAUUCCUACUUUUGGGCAUACAAGAGUAAUACCUUCAAUAACACUUGGACAAACCAAUCAGAUAUCAGCCUAUACGCUUGGACAAACUCGACCACUUUGAGUACGUUGAUGUAGUUCAGGCGAAAACAGUAUGGAUUUUUGAAUUUAAAUGAACUUUGUUUAGUGUACGAAUAGUCAAAAAACGCUUUUGAAAUUAUUGAUAGCCCUUCUUGAAUUAUUAGAACUAAUAAUAAAAAUGUCAAUUGUAGAAUCUAACGCAAAUUCCCGUUUAAAUUAAUUAUAUCUGUAUGAUGAUUAGAUACACUUAUCUUCAUCAUGCUUACGAGUUAUGAUAUUUACAAUGAUCCUCCUUGAAAAGAAAUUGUAUUUUUAACUCAGCAUUUGUUUGUAAUUAGCUGGAAAUGCCUUACAUGGUGUUGUUUAGACUAGGCAAUAAAAAGAUACCAACAAUAAAGAUAUUAUCAAUGA
Long non-coding RNA from Mytilus californianus (California mussel), 1197 nucleotides. RefSeq lists it as uncharacterized. The record is from RefSeq and is a predicted model, not a curated record. Lineage: Eukaryota; Metazoa; Mollusca; Bivalvia; Mytilida; Mytilidae. The transcript is spliced from 3 exons.